Suricata suricatta (meerkat) is the source of this 654-nucleotide long non-coding RNA. RefSeq lists it as uncharacterized. Lineage: Eukaryota; Metazoa; Chordata; Mammalia; Carnivora; Herpestidae. The record is from RefSeq and is a predicted model, not a curated record. The transcript is spliced from 4 exons.
UCCUUGGCCCAAGGGACAUGCAAGGGCUGCUAUUGUGAUGUGUGGCUUGAGUCAGACCUACAGGCUGGCGUGUCUGGCACAUGAAACCCUAUUUCAGGACAUGAUUUACACAUGAAACCCUGUGUCAGGGCAGAGUCAAAUAUGGAAAGGGAAGGAGAUAAACGAUGAACCAGAGGUUGGAGGAAAUGGAAGCCUAUGAACGGAAAUGGGCCUCAGUUCUUGGAGCUAGAGAUGGAGCCAGUGUUCCAGGAAACACGUCAAUACCCUCAUGGAAACCUGGAGUUACCGGGAAGAGAUAAAGAAACACUAGUUGGCAGCAAAUACCUGUUACCAUCAGGACGGCUGAACUGUCCAAUGUACUAGAGGGCAUCAUCUUUCUUCCAGCUUCUAAGGAGGUCAAGAGAUUCUUUGCCUCUGGCAGUGAGAUAUGAAUGGAAGUUGGAGGACUUACACUAACUGAGUUAUGAAAAGGCUACAUUGGUCAAGACGGUUUGGCAUCGGGGGAGAUCCCACAGAGAUCAACAGAACAGAGCUCCGAAAUAGACCUGCAUAUACAUAGACAGCUGAUUUCGACCAGGAUAAGGUAGCUCCACGGACAAGUAUGCUGCACCAACUGGAUAUGUCAAAAAUAAAAAUAAAGAGCAUUGACCUCUU